This 26-nucleotide non-coding RNA is filed under the name Homo sapiens (human). Lineage: Eukaryota; Metazoa; Chordata; Mammalia; Primates; Hominidae. The record is from RNAcentral.
UAGCUUGGGGGUUAGGGGUUGUCUCU